Molecule: non-coding RNA, 238 nt
Filed under: Halorhodospira halophila
Lineage: Bacteria; Pseudomonadati; Pseudomonadota; Gammaproteobacteria; Chromatiales; Ectothiorhodospiraceae
Also listed under: 1 other name
Source: RNAcentral
AGAGUACCAACUUCCUCAGGUGCCCCGCGCGAGCAGCGGCGGGGUGAAACGGGAAGACCGGUACAGCCGCACCCAGCGGCGAGUCCGGCGCUGCCCCCGCAACGGUAGGUGGGGGGCGGAUCAGAAGGCCACUGCAAGGCGUCGUCGUUCGGCGGCGGGCCCUGCGGGAAGGCGAUCCGCCCGGGGUCACCCGACCCCACCCACGAGCCCGGAGACCGGCCUGAGGGAACCCAGGUGC